GACGAACGCUGGCGGUGUGCUUAACACAUGCAAGUGGUGCGACGAACCAGAGCUUGCUCUGGGGCAAAGCCGCGAACGGGUGAGUAACACGUGGGUAAUCUACCCCGAUGACCGGGACAACCCGAGGAAACUCGGGCUAAUACCGGAUGUGGUGCGGAGACAUAAGUCUCUUCACUAAAGGUAGCUUCGGCUUCCGCAUUGGGAGGGGCCCGCGGCCCAUUAGCUUGUUGGUGGGGUCAAGGCCUACCAAGGCAACGAUGGGUAGCUGGUCUGAGAGGACGAGCCGCCACACUGGGACUGAGACACGGCCCAGCCUCCUAGGGGAGGCAGCAGGGGGGAAUCUUGCGCAAGGGGGGAAAGGGGGACGCAGAAACCCCGGGGGGGGGAAGAAGGCCUUAGGGUUGUAAACCUUUUUCAGAGGGGACGAAGGUUCUCCGGUGAAUAGCCGAGAGGAUUGACGGUACCGUCAGAAGAAGCCCCGGCUAACUACGU
Molecule: ribosomal RNA, 492 nt
Filed under: uncultured bacterium
Lineage: Bacteria
Description: partial 16S ribosomal RNA
Rfam family: Bacterial small subunit ribosomal RNA
Source: RNAcentral